Erpetoichthys calabaricus (reedfish) is the source of this 621-nucleotide long non-coding RNA. RefSeq lists it as uncharacterized. Lineage: Eukaryota; Metazoa; Chordata; Cladistia; Polypteriformes; Polypteridae. The transcript has 2 exons. The record is from RefSeq and is a predicted model, not a curated record.
ACAGGGAGUAGAGACAAAAAGCAAGAGAAAUCAAUCGAGCUAAGCAUUCCUAUGACAUGUGUUGAUCAUAUUGUCUUCAUUGAUCCAAAACAUCUUGACUGCUUGUGACUGGCUGGAUGCCAACAAAGACUGACUUGUUGGGGCAGUACUCCAGCCAAGAAUUCUGGAAAUGGACCAGGAUAAAGUUACAUACACAAUUGAAAAAUUAGAACAAAGGGGAGAUGAUGAAGAUACUGAAGAAGUCAUGUCCACCUUGUUAUUUAAUUUUGAAUGCAUGAAGGACAUGAACUUUUUUCUUGAUGAGAUAUGGGGUAAAAAAUAAAUAUUCCCAUCAGUUGCUGCUGUUCGACAAAUUAGGUUGUUGUGUGUUUUUUUUUUUCAGCCUUCAAAAUUUCCAAGGAACUACAUGUGGCAGAAAGCCUACAGUGAUGUCAUUUUGUUCAGUGGAUUUGAUCAGUGAUUCACUAUAAAGAAAAGUGGGGAUGGACUGGCUUUCUUACCUGGUUCAAUAGUUCCUUGUCUACUGAAAUGACCAAUGUAAUGGAUGGAGGACACGGAUGGAUGUCCUAACUGGGAUUGUGUGCUUUAUUUCUUAAAAAUAAAUUCCUAUUUGAACCUGGA